This 256-nucleotide long non-coding RNA is filed under the name Penaeus monodon (black tiger shrimp). RNAcentral describes it as "uncharacterized LOC119577473". Lineage: Eukaryota; Metazoa; Arthropoda; Malacostraca; Decapoda; Penaeidae. The record is from RNAcentral.
UCGUUUAGUCGCUCUUGGACAUCCAUACAUGGGACCUACUUCUGUCAAGGGCCGGACAGGAGAGGCGCCUUCAUUUCCCCCGUUUCAUAUCCUGUCCUGUCUAGAGUGUGGCCGAAAAGGAGUCAACGAAAGCAGGGGAAGUGGAACUAGAAAUGAAACAAACUAUAUUUUUUGUUAAAAUGGAAAAAUGGGAAGUGCAAUGAUUUUGUGUGAAAUGCUAUAUAUUUUUGGAGUGUAAUAAAUGUAUGAGGAUGAA